Non-coding RNA from Trichobilharzia regenti, 46 nucleotides. NCBI's taxonomy places the organism in Eukaryota, Metazoa, Platyhelminthes, Trematoda, Strigeidida, Schistosomatidae. The record is from Rfam.
GUACUCCUGAAGAGUCUCACACUAGGACGAAACAGCUGUCCAGUAG